GACGAACGCUGGCGGCGUGCUUAACACAUGCAAGUCGAACGGAAAGGCCCUGCUUUUGUGGGGUGCUCGAGUGGCGAACGGGUGAGUAACACGCGAGUAACCUGCCCUUGACUUUGGGAUAACUUCAGGAAACUGGGGCUAAUACCGGAUAGGAGCUCCUGCUGCAUGGUGGGGGUUGGAAAGUUUCGGCGGUUGGGGAUGGACUCGCGGCUUAUCAGCUUGUUGGUGGGGUAGUGGCGUACCAAGGCUUUGACGGGUAGCCGGCCUGGGAGGGUGACCGGCGACAUUGGGCCUGAGAUACGGCGCAGAAUGGUAUGGGAGGCAGCAGGGGGGAAUAUUGCGCAAUGGGCGGAAGCCUGAGGCAGAAGCGCCGCGUGCGGGAAGACGGCCUUCGGGUUAUAAACAGCUUUCGCCUGUGACGAAGCGUGAGUGACGGUAAUGGGUAAAGAAGCACCGGCUAACUACGUG
RNAcentral lists this ribosomal RNA (468 nucleotides) under uncultured bacterium. RNAcentral's name for it is "partial 16S ribosomal RNA". It matches the Rfam family "Bacterial small subunit ribosomal RNA", at positions 28 to 507 of the family's 1533-position model. The record is from RNAcentral.